UUUAACUAAUAUUUCAAUUUAAAAAUUCUACAUAAAAAUGUCUGUUUAUAAAUAUUCUUAUCUCCGAGUUCUAUGACAUGGAUAAGUUUAAGCCACGUAUUAAGUCAGUACAAAUAUAGGUUAGGUAUAGAUAUAAAAUAUUGAGACGUAACUCGGUUUGAUAGCUAUUGUCUAUUGAGUAUCGAACUAGAUUUCUUCUUUAGAAAGCAUUUUGGAAAGAAACCAAUGCAAUACCUUGACAAGUUAGGUGUUUGUAUCGAGUAGUUUAAGUAUAUUAUAAGCAGGUAUUAUGAUACCACGGAUGAACGUAAUGUGAGAUGAUAAAAACACCUUUUUGCAACAAAAUCCUAUGUGAACAAGUUUAGCAAAUAUACUUUAUUAAUAUAUUAAAUACAAGUAACAAACACUUUUAGUUAAUGAAAUAUGAGAAUUCGGAUUUUACAGUGAGGAAAGUUAGUGUAUUGAAUAAAAAUGUUCACACGUC
Danaus plexippus (monarch butterfly) is the source of this 484-nucleotide long non-coding RNA. RefSeq lists it as uncharacterized. The transcript has 2 exons. NCBI's taxonomy places the organism in Eukaryota, Metazoa, Arthropoda, Insecta, Lepidoptera, Nymphalidae. The record is from RefSeq and is a predicted model, not a curated record.